This 207-nucleotide ribosomal RNA is filed under the name uncultured bacterium. RNAcentral's name for it is "partial 16S ribosomal RNA". It matches the Rfam family "Bacterial small subunit ribosomal RNA", at positions 568 to 774 of the family's 1533-position model. The record is from RNAcentral.
CGUGUAGGCGGGAAGGAUAGUCAGAUGUGAAAUCCCCAGGCUCAACCUGGGAACUGCAUUUGAAACUCCCUUUCUUGAGUAUCGGAGAGGAAAGCGGAAUUCCUGGUGUAGAGGUGAAAUUCGUAGAUAUCAGGAGGAACACCAGUGGCGAAGGCGGCUUUCUGGACGGUUACUGACGCUGAGACGCGAAAGCGUGGGGAGCAAACA